Molecule: long non-coding RNA, 1227 nt
Organism: Camelus dromedarius (Arabian camel)
Lineage: Eukaryota; Metazoa; Chordata; Mammalia; Artiodactyla; Camelidae
Exons: 3
Source: RefSeq, a predicted model, not a curated record
CCCCAGCGCUGCCAGCCUGGGCCAUGUUUUCAAGCCGCAAUGGAGGAAAGAAGUUUCCUUGGGGCCACGACUAUCUAGAAAAUACGCUGACACAGGGACACAGCUACAUGAUGUCGACCGCUUGCUUCCCUUACCCCAGCAGUUCCUUCUUCCCUUGACCUGUGGGCUAGAGAUAGUGAGCACUUAUUUCUCUCCUGGCAUAAAGUAAACGUUACACGGGUGUCAUGCAGAACACUGAGAAAGCCCAGGAAAACACAAAGCUGGAGGGAAAAGCAAACAAGAACGCAAGGUGGGGGGAGAAACCCAAAACAAAAAGAGAGUGAAAAGCAAAGUCAAGCAAAGGCUUACAUCAAACGUGGUGCUGCCGUAAACCCUCCACAUAUCCGGAACGCUGCCCCAGCUCCCAGUAUGAACAGCUUGUACAAGUUCAGGGUGUUCCUCUCCCAGAAGCCAUCUGGGAGCGUUUUCUAGAACCUUCUGCCUGCCAGAUGCCCCGUCAUCCACGAGGCGGCCCGGGUCUGAUCCUGGCCGAGCUGGAGGUCACAGAGUGCUCCAGGCUCAGACUCCCUGGGCUGCCCCCUUGCACACUAGUUUUCUAGGUGACCUGGAGAGAGUUCCCGCCCUCUCUGUGCCUUGCCUUCCUCGUCUGUGGAACGGGGCUCCUUCCACAUGGAGAAGAGAACAGAGCGAUGAAGAGGAAUGUUCUACACCACAGCUGACGGCGUGGACGACUGGCCAAACGGAACACUCAGCAAAACACCCAGAAACAGGACAGUCCAUGCGACUCCACUUCAGAGCUCAGAACCGGGCGUGACACACUAAAACCAACAGCACAAGCAAGCUGAGUACUUCCUAAUUAGCCUCCCAUCAGACCGCGAGCGCAUGCGGAGGCCGCCCAGGCUCCGGGGACAGGACACGCUGCAGGAAGCCGGGGAGGUCACUGCCGGGUCCCUCACGUCAGGUGACACUGUCCAAGAAGACCUCACUUCAUGAUCGCUAAUUUGUGGCUUGUAUACCCAUCCCAAGCGCUUCCAAAGCUCUCAGCCAAAAGGCAUAUGAGAUUUUGUAAAGAUUGGGAAGCAAAGUAAUCAGCCACACUUCGCCCCACCCAGAGAAUUCCCCUUUCUCUGGGUGGCGGAUGUGACUGUGAAGUUGAGAAGGAAAUAAAUGAAUUCUCUCUGAAACUCCUCUUGGUGGUCAAGAGCCCUGGUGUCUCACUGCAUUACU